GGACUUCAUUUUUGGGAACAGCACUGCGCUCUUUGAGCACUGUCAUGUCCACUGCAAGGCAAAUGGGUUCGUAACUGCACAAAGCAGAAAAACUGCUGAGGAGUCAACUGGUUAUGUGUUCCUGAGAUGUGUGAUCACAGGAAAUGGAGGGACUUCAUAUGCGUAUCUUGGACGUCCAUGGGGACCAUUUGGAAGGGUGGCCUAU
RNAcentral lists this unclassified non-coding RNA (205 nucleotides) under Hevea brasiliensis (rubber tree). Lineage: Eukaryota; Viridiplantae; Streptophyta; Magnoliopsida; Malpighiales; Euphorbiaceae. The record is from RNAcentral.